GGCUUUGUGGUCUAGUGGUAUGAUUCGCGCUUCGGGUAAUUCCCACACUGUGAAACAGUGCUUGUGCGAGGUCUCGGGUUCGAUCCCCGACAAAGCCC
Molecule: non-coding RNA, 98 nt
Organism: Bombardia bombarda
Lineage: Eukaryota; Fungi; Ascomycota; Sordariomycetes; Sordariales; Lasiosphaeriaceae
Source: the annotation of a GenBank genome assembly